This 735-nucleotide ribosomal RNA is filed under the name uncultured bacterium. Its description in RNAcentral is "bacterial SSU rRNA". It matches the Rfam family "Bacterial small subunit ribosomal RNA", at positions 28 to 776 of the family's 1533-position model. The record is from RNAcentral.
GACGAACGCUGGCGCCGCUCCUAACACAUGCAAGUCGAACGAGCGAGAGAGAGCUUGCUUUCUCAAGCGAGUGGCGAACGGGUGAGUAACGCGUGAGGAACCUGCCUCAAAGAGGGGGACAACAGUUGGAAACGACUGCUAAUACCGCAUAAGCCCACGACCCGGCAUCGGGUUGAGGGAAAAGGAGCAAUCCGCUUUGAGAUGGCCUCGCGUCCGAUUAGCUGGUUGGUGAGGUAACGGCCCACCAAGGCAACGAUCGGUAGCCGGACUGAGAGGUUGAACGGCCACAUUGGGACUGAGACACGGCCCAGACUCCUACGGGAGGCAGCAGUGGGGAAUAUUGCACAAUGGGGGAAACCCUGAUGCAGCGACGCCGCGUGGAGGAAGAAGGUCUUCGGAUUGUAAACUCCUGUUGUUGAGGAAGAUAAUGACGGUACUCAACAAGGAAGUGACGGCUAACUACGUGCCAGCAGCCGCGGUAAAACGUAGGUCACAAGCGUUGUCCGGAAUUACUGGGUGUAAAGGGAGCGCAGGCGGGAAGACAAGUUGGAAGUGAAAUCUAUGGGCUCAACCCAUAAACUGCUUUCAAAACUGUUUUUCUUGAGUAGUGCAGAGGUAGGCGGAAUUCCCGGUGUAGCGGUGGAAUGCGUAGAUAUCGGGAGGAACACCAGUGGCGAAGGCGGCCUACUGGGCACCAACUGACGCUGAGGCUCGAAAGUGUGGGUAGCAAACAGG